RNAcentral lists this transfer RNA (69 nucleotides) under Channa burmanica. It matches the Rfam family "tRNA". From Rfam's summary of the family: Transfer RNA (tRNA) molecules are approximately 80 nucleotides in length. Their secondary structure includes four short double-helical elements and three loops (D, anti-codon, and T loops). The record is from RNAcentral. Lineage: Eukaryota; Metazoa; Chordata; Actinopteri; Anabantiformes; Channidae.
UAGGAAGUGGUGUAGCGGAAGCACUAAGAGUUUUGAUCUCUUGGGGUGGGGUUCAAAUCCCUUCUUUCU